This 428-nucleotide ribosomal RNA is filed under the name Bacteroidota bacterium. RNAcentral's name for it is "Bacteroidetes bacterium partial 16S ribosomal RNA". It matches the Rfam family "Bacterial small subunit ribosomal RNA", at positions 355 to 776 of the family's 1533-position model. Lineage: Bacteria; Pseudomonadati; Bacteroidota. The record is from RNAcentral.
UAGGGAAUCUUCCGCAAUGGACGCAAGUCUGACGGAGCAACGCCGCGUGAGUGAAGAAGGAUUUCGGUUCGUAAAACUCUGUUGUUAGAGAAGAACAGCGCAUAGAGUAACUGUUAUGCGUGUGACGGUAUCUAAUCAGAAAGCCACGGCUAACUACGUGCCAGCAGCCGCGGUAAUACGUAGGUGGCAAGCGUUAUCCGGAAUUAUUGGGCGUAAAGCGCGCGUAGGCGGUUUAAUAAGUCGAAUGUUAAAGAUCGGGGCUCAACCCCGUAAAGCAUUGGAAACUGAUAAAAUUGAGUAGUGGAGAGGAAAGUGGAAUUCCUAGUGUAGUGGUGAAAUACGUAGAUAUUAGGAGGAAUACCAGUAGCGAAGGCGACUUUCUGGACACAAACUGACGAGGAGGUACGAAAGCGUGGGGAGCAAACAGG